AACGAACGCUGGCGGCAUGCCUAACACAUGCAAGUCGAACGAGACCUUCGGGUCUAGUGGCGCACGGGUGCGUAACGCGUGGGAAUCUGCCCUUCGGUUGGGAAUAACUGAGAGAAAUUUCAGCUAAUACCUUAUAAUGUCUUCGGACCAAAGAUUUAUCGCCGAGGGAUGAGCCCGCGUAGGAUUAGGUAGUUGGUGGGGUAUUGGCCUACCAAGCCGACGAUCCUUAGCUGGUCUGAGAGGAUGAUCAGCCACACUGGGACUGAGACACGGCCCAGACUCCUACGGGAGGCAGCAGUGGGGAAUAUUGGACAAUGGGCGAAAGCCUGAUCCAGCAAUGCCGCGUGAGUGAUGAAGGCCUUAGGGUUGUAAAGCUCUUUUACCCGGGAUGAUAAUGACAGUACCGGGAGAAUAAGCUCCGGCUAACUCCGUG
This 433-nucleotide ribosomal RNA is filed under the name uncultured bacterium. Its description in RNAcentral is "partial 16S ribosomal RNA". It matches the Rfam family "Bacterial small subunit ribosomal RNA", at positions 29 to 507 of the family's 1533-position model. The record is from RNAcentral.